Molecule: ribosomal RNA, 445 nt
Filed under: uncultured bacterium
Lineage: Bacteria
Description: partial 16S ribosomal RNA
Rfam family: Bacterial small subunit ribosomal RNA
Source: RNAcentral
GUGAGGAAUAUUGCGCAAUGGAGGCAACUCUGACGCAGCCAUGCCGCGUGCAGGAAGAAGGCGCUACGCGUUGUAAACUGCUUUUAACCGGGAAGAAACCCCAGGACGUGUCCUGGGUUGACGGUACCGGAGGAAUAAGCACCGGCUAACUUCGUGCCAGCAGCCGCGGUAAUACGAAGGGUGCAAGCGUUAUCCGGAUUCAUUGGGUUUAAAGGGUGCGUAGGCGGAACGUUAAGUCAGUGGUGAAAUCCUGCAGCUUAACUGUAGACUUGCCAUUGAUACUGGCGCUCUUGAGUGCGCUUGAAGUGGGCGGAAUGUGGCGUGUAGCGGUGAAAUGCUUAGAUAUGGCACAGAACACCAAUUGCGAAGGCAGCUCACUAAGGCGAUACUGACGCUGAGGCACGAAAGCGUGGGGAUCGAACAGGAUUAGAUACCCCGGUAGUCC